UUUUCCUACGGGACGCAGCAGUGGGGAAUAUUGGACAAUGGGGGAAACCCUGAAGCAGCAACGCCGCGUGGAGGAUGAAGGUUUUAGGAUUGUAAACUCCUUUUGUGAGAGAAGAUAAUGACGGUAUCUCACGAAUAAGCACCGGCUAACUCCGUGCCAGCAGCCGCGGUAAUACGGAGGGUGCAAGCGUUACUCGGAAUCACUGGGCGUAAAGAGUGCGCAGGCGGGCUUGUAAGUCAGAUGUGAAAUCCUGUAGCUUAACUACAGAACUGCAUUUGAA
This 280-nucleotide ribosomal RNA is filed under the name uncultured bacterium. RNAcentral describes it as "partial 16S ribosomal RNA". It matches the Rfam family "Bacterial small subunit ribosomal RNA", at positions 334 to 631 of the family's 1533-position model. The record is from RNAcentral.